ACUCGGGUUGAUUCCAUUCCAUUCCAUUCCAAUCCAUUCCAUUCCAUUCCAUUCCAUUCCAUUCCAUUCCAUUCCAUUCCAUUCGGGUUCAUUCCAUUCCAUUCCAUUCCAUUCCAUUCCAUUCCAUUCCACUCGUGUUGAUUCCGUUCCAUUCCAUUCCAUUCCAUUCCAUUCCAUUCCAUUCCAUUCCAUUCCAGUUGAUUCCAUUGCAUUCCAUUCCAUUCCAUUCCAUUCCGUUCCAUUCCAUUCCAUUCCAUUCCAUUCCAUUCCAUUCCUUUCCACUCGGGUUGAUUCCAUUCCAUUCCAUUCCUUUCCAUUCCAUUCCAUUCCGUUCCACUCGGCUUGAUUCCAUUCCAUUCCAUUCCAU
RNAcentral lists this long non-coding RNA (367 nucleotides) under Homo sapiens (human). Its description in RNAcentral is "HSALNT0319528". Lineage: Eukaryota; Metazoa; Chordata; Mammalia; Primates; Hominidae. The record is from RNAcentral.